GCUCUGGCUGUGGAGAAAGAUUCCCUUGUUGUGCUGCUCCAAACCCUGAACCAAAACCCAGGAUGAUGUUCAAGCAGCAAACAGAGAGGACAGAGGGGGAAUUUCAGAGCACAGCAAGAACCAGAGAAUAGAGAUCUUACAAGCCCAGCUGAGAUCUUCCAAUCUUGUGGAUAGAAGCAUCUAAACCCUUUGACAGGGAUGCUCAAGAAAAAUCUUGGACCUUUGAAAAAUGUGUCUGCAAUGCUGAGAUCCUUCAGAAACGUUCUAGAAAAUGUGACUCAGUAACCCGGACUACAGGAGUGAAAAUAAAACACAGGUGACACCAGUGAUUUGUCAAAUGUGGCAGUGAGUUGUAGCUUGGAAGGGUUUUUCUCCCCAAGGGGUAAGUGGGACUCCUGAAAAUGUACUUACACCACACACCUCACUGGUAAAUAAAGACCAGAUACAACAACAUGGUGGAAUAAAGAAUAUG
Serinus canaria (Common canary) is the source of this 472-nucleotide long non-coding RNA. RefSeq lists it as uncharacterized. The record is from RefSeq and is a predicted model, not a curated record. Lineage: Eukaryota; Metazoa; Chordata; Aves; Passeriformes; Fringillidae. The transcript is spliced from 5 exons.